UCCGCGCCGUAGCUAACGCAUUAAGUGCCCCGCCUGGGGAGUACGGCCGCAAGGCUAAAACUCAAAGGAAUUGACGGGGGCCCGCACAAGCGGCGGAGCAUGCGGAUUAAUUCGAUGCAACGCGAAGAACCUUACCAAGGCUUGACAUGGGCUGGAUUGCUUCGGAGACGGGGUUUCCCUUUUUUGGGCUGGUUCACAGGUGGUGCAUGGUUGUCGUCAGCUCGUGUCGUGAGAUGUUGGGUUAAGUCCCGCAACGAGCGCAACCCUUGUCUCGUGUUGCCAGCGCGUUGUGGUGGGGACUCGCGGGAGACUGCCGGGGUUAACUCGGAGGAAGGUGGGGAUGACGUCAAAUCAUCAUGCCCCUUAUGUCUUGGGCUUCACGCAUGCUACAAUGGCCGGUACAGUGGGUUGCGAUGCUGUGAGGCGGAGCGAAUCCCUGAAAGCCGGUCUCAGUUCGGAUCGGUGUCUGCAACUCGACACCGUGAAGUUGGAGUCGCUAGUAAUCGCAGAUCAGCAGCGCUGCGGUGAAUACGUUCUCGGGCCUUGUACACACCGCCCGUCACGUCAUGAAAGCUGGCAACACCCGAAGCCCGUGGCCUUAUG
RNAcentral lists this ribosomal RNA (603 nucleotides) under uncultured bacterium. RNAcentral's name for it is "bacterial SSU rRNA". It matches the Rfam family "Bacterial small subunit ribosomal RNA", at positions 840 to 1440 of the family's 1533-position model. The record is from RNAcentral.